CCCGCGCGCACUGCAUCUUCACUGUACGGUCACUCUAUACCUCACUCACACUUGCGGUUCAGGCGGCAACUUGUCGACGGAAGAGCGAAAACAACGCGCCGUCGUGUACCCGCCUCCCCUGAUCCCUCGUGCCAAGCGAGCCAAAACGCCAGCUCACCGUUGCAACGACCAACCGACCGACCGAGCCCGGCGCGCGAGGCCACCACAUGACACCACCAACACACGCGAGCAGCAAACAAGAAGAGCCAGCCAGCCCCCCCCGCCUCCCUUUCCAUCCGUCGUCCCCAACCGCCCCCCUCCCUCCCGCAUCACAACAAACGCGCUCUUCUCCGUGCUUCCGGAACUCUCCCCCCGUCCCCAUCCCCACCUCCACCUCCACCGCCACCGCCAUGGCCUCCGUCGCCGCCUCCUCCUCGCCCCUCGCCGCCGCCUCGCUCGCGGUUUCUCGGCGCCCGCACCACGCGCUCCCGCCCGCCCGCGGCCCGCGUCCCCAGGCCCANNNNN
This 504-nucleotide long non-coding RNA is filed under the name Hordeum vulgare. Its description in RNAcentral is "long non-coding RNA (HVUL_LNC005246)". Lineage: Eukaryota; Viridiplantae; Streptophyta; Magnoliopsida; Poales; Poaceae. The record is from RNAcentral.